UGGAAAGGCACUCGGGAGCGAUUUCUGAACGGACCUGGGCGUGUCGGACCAGUGAGCAGCGGCGGCUGCGCCGCGGCAGCAGCAGAAAGCGCAGCUGCUUUGCUCUAGUCCACGCCCCCUUGCCGCUCCGGUGACAGUCUGCGGAAAGCCACGUUUGUGAUUUCGGGAGAGCGCAGAGCGGGACGACGGCGCUCUUGCUUGGUCAUCUGGGCCAGGUGACGAAGAAACAGUUUCCCGGUGAAGCAGCCCCUCACUCAUAGUCAGCGCACACCCCUAGGGCCUAAAGAUGCUGAGGUCCGUAUGGAAUUUUCUGAAACGCCACAAAAAGAAAUGCAUCUUCCUGGGCACGGUCCUUGGAGGAGUAUAUAUUCUGGGGAAAUAUGGGCAGAAGAAAAUCAGAGAAAUACAGGAAAGGGAGGCUGCAGAAUACAUUGCCCAAGCGCGACGACAAUAUCAUUUUGAAAGUAACCAGAGGACUUGCAAUAUGACAGUGCUGUCCAUGCUUCCAACACUGAGAGAGGCCUUAAUGCAGCAACUGAAUUCCGAGAGUCUCACAGCUCUGCUAAAAAACAGGCCUUCAAACAAGCUAGAAAUAUGGGAGGAUCUGAAGAUAAUAAGUUUCACAAGAAGUAUCGUGGCUGUAUACAGUACUUGUAUGCUGGUUGUUCUUUUGCGGGUCCAGUUAAACAUAAUUGGUGGAUAUAUUUACCUGGAUAAUGCAGCAGUUGGCAAAAAUGGCACUACAAUUCUUGCUCCCCCAGAUGUCCAACAGCAAUAUUUAUCAAGUAUUCAACACCUCCUUGGAGAUGGCCUGACAGAAUUGAUCACUGUCAUUAAACAAGCUGUGCAGAAGAUUUUAGGAAGUGUUUCUCUUAAACAUUCUUUGUCCCUUUUGGACUUGGAGCAAAAACUAAAAGAAAUCAGAAAUCUCGUUGAGCAGCAUAAGUCUUCUUCUUGGAUUAAUAAAGAUGGAUCCAAAUCUUUAUUAUGCCAUUAUAUGAUGCCAGAUGAAGAAACUCCAUUAGCAGUGCAGGCCUGUGGACUUUCUCCUCGAGACAUUACCACUAUUAAACUUCUCAAUGAAACUAGAGACAUGUUGGAAAGCCCAGAUUUUAGUACAGUUUUGAAUACCUGUUUAAACCGAGGUUUUAGUAGACUUCUAGACAAUAUGGCUGAGUUCUUUCGACCUACUGAACAGGACCUGCAACAUGGUAACUCUAUGAAUAGUCUUUCCAGUGUCAGCCUGCCUUUAGCUAAGAUAAUUCCAAUAGUAAACGGACAGAUCCAUUCAGUUUGCAGUGAAACACCUAGUCAUUUUGUUCAGGUAAGGAGAAAGCUUGGGAGUGUUAUUAAAAGCAAAUUGUAUUCAUGGGUGGUGGUCAUGUGUGUCUAAGAUAAACUUACAUUCUCUGCUGAGAUGUUUUUUCAAAAAAACACAGAACUUGGAACUACAUGUAGAGUGUGGUAGAGUGUCCCAUGAGAGUAAUAAUGGAUUAUAGCAAAUGUGUAAGUUUGGAGUAUCUUUCUCCGUGUUGUAGUCCAACACUGUGGGACUACAUUUUAGACCAGGUAUAUUAUAGUGGUCAGUUGAAUUUAUAUAGCAUGAAUGUUUUGCAUUAAGUUGUGCUAAUAAGAAGAUUGAGCCUUGAGGCAGAUCAAGGAUCCCAUUCUACACAUUUUGAGGAAAACUAAAAAAAUUUUUGGAGAAGUAAGUCAUUUUAGUGAUUAAUAAAAUGUAACUGUUAAUAGUGCAUCAAUAAUAUGCUCACUAAAAGUUCCAUAAACAGUGGGUCAUUUAAAUGUUUUAUCAGACUACUUAUAAGUCCGUCUUCUUUCUUCAUUUCCAUUUGGAAUGCAUUGAGUAAUUCACUAAUUCAUUGAGUCACACAGAUAUUAUAAACAAAAUAACUUUGAAUUUCUGAGUCAUGUGCAAACUUGAAAACUGUGUUAUAAGUUAAAAAAAUUGUUUGCAAUACCAAUUGCAAACUGCUUCAAUAAUGUACAAUGAGAAGAGACCCUAUGGCCUAAGAAUAAAGCUGACGUCUUCUUAGUGUAACUUGUUUCAGAUAGUUUAGUGUAUCCUCUCUGUAGACUUUUUACUCUUGAUAAUGUGGAGAGCACUGAGACUAAGAGUUUGUUUCCUCCUUUCACUGUGGUGUCAUCAGCCUGUCCUUCACAUGCACUGUUCUCUUUCUCACCCAUAAGAGCUGGGCACUCAUAUUGCAGAAGAAAUAGUGAAUAAGACUGAUCUCAUUUUACUGAAUUUUAAGCUUCACAUCUAUAUCAAUGUGAGAAAAAGGUCAUAACUUGGGGCAUUUAAACUUUACCUUUACCUUUGUCCUCUUCUGGAGAAGUCCCUGACUUGGCCAGUAGGCUGUUCAUUUUGACAGAUAAGUGGAAAUGACAGCCAAGCAUAAAGCAUCAUCAACCUUAAUGCUUAAAUUUUAUGCAGUACACUUUAAUUAAAAUUGAUAUAAUUGAUAAUAAAAACAAAUGUUUCAGUACAGUAAAAACACCAUUGAUACUAAUGUUUAGUAAAGUUUUUUAGUGUAACUGGAUGUAUAUUAAAUGUAUAUACUAGACCAUUGAUUGACAAGGCUAUAACAAUUAUAGUUUAAUUUUUUAGACUAUAAUUUAUGAGUUAAAAUACCAAGUGGUCUUCUGAACGUGUGCUCUACUAUUUCCACUUAUCUUUUUGUAAAGCCUUUCUUUGCCUUGAUUAGAAUGUUAAUUUACAUAAAAUUAAUCCUUUCAAAUUACUGCUAUUACUUCAACUACAAUGGUGUGUAGGAGAGCCUAUUGUGGGAAUGCUGUAGAACAGGGGUUGGCAAACUGUACAGGGCCAGAUAGUACAUACUUUAUGCAACAUACAUUCUCUACAGAAACUAUUCAUAUCUGCUCUAGCAGUGUGAAAGCAGUCAGAAACAUACAUGAACAAAAGAGUGUGGCUGUUUCAACACAACUUUAUAUACAAAAACAGGCAGCAGUGGAUUUGGCCCACAGGCUGUACUUUGCUGACCCCUGUGGUAGAAGAUACUAGGAUGGUAGUUCGUAAAGGCAGGGAAUGGGAGAAUCAGAAAACAAUCGAGAAAGGUGUUUUUUCAAAUUAUUUUCAAAUAGCUUUCAAAUAACAUAAGCAGGAGAUAAAUUAUUUCAGAUUGCUUUCAGAUUAACAUGAGGAAAGAGCUUUUAUAAUGUGAACCAACCCUGUGAUACAUAAUUUUUAUCUCAGACUACUGAAAACAUCCUGGAAGCUGCAUCAGGAUACAGUAUUUGAACAGAUUGAAGUCUUUAUUAUAAAGCUGAUAUAAACUAACUAUGACCUAUGAGCCAAAUCCAGCCAAGCACCAGCUUUUGAUCUGUUGACAAUGGAGCAAGUGAAAGACUUUGCUGCUAAUGUGUAUGAAGCUUUUAGUACCCCUCAGCAACUGGAGAAAUGAUUUUUCCUU
Cercocebus atys (sooty mangabey) is the source of this 3449-nucleotide RNA transcript. It is a transcript of the gene named peroxisomal biogenesis factor 3, with no coding region annotated. The record is from RefSeq and is a predicted model, not a curated record. Lineage: Eukaryota; Metazoa; Chordata; Mammalia; Primates; Cercopithecidae. The transcript is spliced from 12 exons.